This 68-nucleotide transfer RNA is filed under the name Colomesus psittacus (banded puffer). RNAcentral describes it as "tRNA-Ser(AGY)". The record is from RNAcentral. Lineage: Eukaryota; Metazoa; Chordata; Actinopteri; Tetraodontiformes; Tetraodontidae.
GAGAGAGGCAUGACUGCGGUAAAGACUGCUAACCUUCGCUCCUUUGGUUAAAUUCCAGAGCUCACUCG